Molecule: transfer RNA, 73 nt
Organism: Roseivivax jejudonensis
Lineage: Bacteria; Pseudomonadati; Pseudomonadota; Alphaproteobacteria; Rhodobacterales; Roseobacteraceae
Rfam family: tRNA
About the family: Transfer RNA (tRNA) molecules are approximately 80 nucleotides in length.
Source: Rfam
GCCGGUAUAGCUCAGCUGGUAGAGCAACUGAUUUGUAAUCAGUGGGUCGGGGGUUCAAGUCCCUCUGCCGGCA